This 497-nucleotide ribosomal RNA is filed under the name uncultured bacterium. RNAcentral describes it as "partial 16S ribosomal RNA". It matches the Rfam family "Bacterial small subunit ribosomal RNA", at positions 28 to 507 of the family's 1533-position model. The record is from RNAcentral.
GAUGAACGCUGGCGGCGUGCCUAAUACAUGCAAGUCGAGCGAACAGACGAGGAGCUUGCUCCUCUGACGUUAGCGGCGGACGGGUGAGUAACACGUGGAUAACCUACCUAUAAGACUGGGAUAACUUCGGGAAACCGGAGCUAAUACCGGAUAAUAUAUUGAACCGCAUGGUUCAAUAGUGAAAGACGGCUUUGCUGUCUCUUAUCGAUGGAUCCGCGCCGCACUAGCUAGUUGGUAAGGUAACGGCUUACCAAGGCGACGAUGCGUAGCCGACCUGAGAGGGGGGUCGGCCACACUGGAACGGGGACGCGGUCCAGACGCCUACGGGAGGCAGCAGUAGGGAAUCUGCCGCAAUAGGCGAAAGCCUGACGGAGCAACGCCGCGUGAGUGAUAAAGGUCUUCGGAUCGUAAAACUCUGUUAUUAGUGAAGAACAAAUGUGUAAGUAACUAUGCACGUCUUGACGGUACCGAAUCAGAAAGCCACGGCUAACUACGUG